This 875-nucleotide ribosomal RNA is filed under the name uncultured marine group I thaumarchaeote. RNAcentral describes it as "bacterial SSU rRNA". It matches the Rfam family "Archaeal small subunit ribosomal RNA", at positions 21 to 903 of the family's 1478-position model. Lineage: Archaea; Thermoproteati; Nitrososphaerota. The record is from RNAcentral.
CCUGACUGCUAUCGGAUUGAUACUAAGCCAUGCGAGUCAUUGUAGCAAUACAAGGCAUACGGCUCAGUAACGCGUAGUCAACCUAGCCUAUGGACGGGAAUAACCUCGGGAAACUGAGAAUAAUGCCCGAUAGAACACUAUACCUGGAAUGGUUUGUGUUCCAAAUGAUUUAUCGCCAUAGGAUGGGACUGCGGCCUAUCAGUUUGUUGGUGAGGUAGUGGCCCACCAAGACUAUUACAGGUACGGGCUCUGAGAGGAGUAGCCCGGAGAUGGGUACUGAGACACGGACCCAGGCCCUAUGGGGCGCAGCAGGCGAGAAAACUUUGCAAUGUGCGAAAGCACGACAAGGUUAAUCCGAGUGAUUUGUGCUAAACGAAUCUUUUGUUAGCCCUAGAAACACUAACGAAUAAGGGGUGGGCAAGUUCUGGUGUCAGCCGCCGCGGUAAAACCAGCACCUCAAGUGGUCAGGAUGAUUAUUGGGCCUAAAGCAUCCGUAGCCGGCUCUGUAAGUUUUCGGUUAAAUCUGUACGCUUAACGUACAGGCUGCCGGGAAUACUGCAGAGCUAGGGAGUGGGAGAGGUAGACGGUACUCAGUAGGAAGUGGUAAAAUGCUUUGAUCUAUCGAUGACCACCUGUGGCGAAGGCGGUCUACCAGAACACGUCCGACGGUGAGGGAUGAAAGCUGGGGGAGCAAACCGGAUUAGAUACCCGGGUAGUCCCAGCUGUAAACUAUGCAAACUCAGUGAUGCAUUGGCUUGUGGCCAAUGCAGUGCUGCAGGGAAGCCGUUAAGUUUGCCGCCUGGGAAGUACGUACGCAAGUAUGAAACUUAAAGGAAUUGGCGGGGGAGCACCACAAGGGGUGAAGCCUGCGGUUC